UAUCCUAUUCUCAGAUUCCAGAAGCCAGUCUAUUUUGACGGGUCACUCUAUUGGCUCACCGACUGUGUAGAAACAAAGGUUUUGUCUUUCGAUCUCCACACUGAAACUUUCCAAGUCAUCUGUAAAACUCCCUUUGCCGAUGCACCUCGCCCAAGUAACGUAGUCUUGUUCAUCCUUGAUGACUGUUUGUGCGCUUCUGAGAAAACGUGGCCAACGCAAGUCAUAUGGUCUUUGGAUUCUUCUUCAAAGACAUGGAAGCAAAUGUGUUCUAUAGAUCUCACCAAUACUUUUCCUUUGUUCGACAGAUACGGUCCCAUACCCUUACCCGUAGCAAUCCUGGAGAAGAACAAGUUAUAUCUCCAUGGUCGUAACUACUUGGAACCACUCAUGCUACAUGAUCUCAAUACCAAAUCUUUUGAGGUUGUCUCCACACCUACCACCCCCGGAGAUUGUAUUUAUUAUUUCGAAAGUUUGUUCUCUGUUUAAUCUUUUAUGUUUCCUUAUUUAUGUAUCAAUCAACCAUUUGUAACCUGAACAAAUGUAUUUGGAUACAUAAUAUGUAAAUAAUCAAACCUGAAGAAAAAUGAAUUGAAUUUUAAAAGGAUAAUUAUAGAUUUAAUGUUGAGUCAAUCUUAUAAAGAAAUGGACUUUUUAGCUUUAUCCAAAACACGUACCAAACUGGGGAAUGUUGAGUCAAUCUUAAUUUAAUGUCGCUUAGUUAUAGGGAUGCACGUAGCUUUAUAUGGUUCAUCUGAGAGUAUUGUUUUGUCGACGUCUGAGAGUAUAAUAAUUUCAGCGUUCUUAUAAAAGUCUAAAAAAAAGAAACAAAGAAAAAACACCAAGUAAUUGUAAUUUGGUUUAGGUACACACUGAACAACUUAUAAACCAAUAGUUAAAGAAAGGUCUACCAUUACCUUACUCCACUCUUGAAAACCCUUUAAGGAGUGGAGACGACUGAGAAACAAUUAGCUGAGGUAAUUUAAAGAAAAACAUUUGUUAUAAAUGUUCCUUCACUGAGGUUAGACAAAGAUAAGAGCACCUUUAUCGCGGAACACAAUGGGUUUCUGCAUGAAAUAAGGGUGUGGAUCCUACGUUUUUUAAAAAAAAUGGUUACCAAAGUCGCUAGUUAUGGAUCGCUCUUGGCCAAUUUGUUACACUAUUUUAUGGACCCCACGACACGUGGCGGCCCGCGAUUGGUUUCGUUUUAAUUUUUUUAUUUUUAAAUCAGAUAAAACAAAAAAAAAUUUAGAAAUCCUCACCCGAUAAUCAUGCUCUAAGAUGAAGGACUGGUUCUCAGAAUCUGUAAAAACUGCAGGUAUUGGUGAAAGAAAAUCCAUUAAAUGUAUCCAAACAGACAUAAUGCAGUGUUCCAAGUCUCAUAUGCUUCCAAGCCAGAAGGCACAAUUGCCCAUGUCCUAAAGGUACUACUAAACUUACUAUAAGAGGAUUUGCUCAGAUAAAUCUAAGUAUAUGCUAUCUUUUGCUAAACCACACAAAUAUUAUGGAUUCUCUUGUAUAAUUUGUAACCUUUUUGGUAACCUUUAUGGUAAUAAUAAAAGGCGUGCAAUGUUAUUGUCCAAUAUGUGAUGAUCCUAAAAUGUUUAAUAAUUUUUUUAUUAAGAAUCUUUAAUUAAGAGACUAGCAUUGGAUCUCAUAAAUGUUGAAUUUUUUUAACUAAGUCUCUUAACUAACAUUUACUAUUUAAAAAGUACUUAAAAGACCUUAAAGGAGUCUUUGGGUUAAUGAUGCUUUAAACGCCUUAACACUGUCUUUAAUCCUAAAUCGGAAUCCAAUAUUAAAAAAAUUAUAUUUGCAUAAUAAUCUUCAAAAUCAAUCAAAACUCACUAAUAAAAAUUACAAACAAUAUUAUCUAAUAAAAAUACAAACUAAAUAAUCUGCAAGAAAAGUUUAACUAACUCACCCCAUCACACUGAAAUACUGAAUAGCUUGUAUGCCAAUAAAUUUUCCAUCUGAUUAUAUAACAUGUUACUAUGUAUCAUUUGGUUUUGUUUAGUAAAUUUAUUUAACGGAUCACAUAUACUAUGUCAUAUCUAAUAAGUGAAUCAACGGAUUUAUAUUUAAUAAUUUGGAUUUUAUAUGUUAAUAUGUGAUAUAUAAUCCUAAACAGAUAAUGUUUUCUUCAUGUUCUUGGACAACACAACAUUUUUCUUAUAAAUUGCUCAAAGUGAUAAUUCACUUCUAGUUAUACCUAAUGGCAUUAGUAAAAGCCUUUUCAAUACAAAAUAAAUUACACCAAGAAACUAUAGUUAGAUGAGCAUGGCGACAAAAAACAACAUAAAACUGGGACAAAACUCAAGAGAUAGAGUUAAAGUCUUUGAAUUUUUGUCCUUUGUUUCACACUAAACCCUGAACUGAGUUAAACAAAGCCGCCCGUUCUUCGAGACAAAACACACUAUUACUAUCUCUCUCUCUCUCUCUCUCUCUCUCUCUCUCUUUCUAAGAGCAUCUCCAAAAAGGAACUCUAUUUUGAAAUUUUCAAAACUCUAUAUUUGAAGUUUCAAUGUGUUUUUCUCCAAAAGUAAAACUUCAAACCUAACUUCAAAAUUAUUUAUAUUUUACACUAUGGUCCUUAUAUUUGUCAUAGUUGAUGUAAAUUCAUAAAACUUCUAUAAAUAACUAGUACAUAUAUAUAAAUAUUACAUAAAUAUUAAUUAAAAAAAUCUUACACUAAAAUAUAAAAUUAUAAAUAAAAGUACAUAAUUAAAUAUUAAACUGCAAGCAAAUACUAUAUUAUUCCAUAAAAUUAUUUCUAUAAUGCUUCCAUAUAUGAUCAACUAGUGCAUUUCGAAGUAAGAAAUGAUUCUCUUUAUUUUUUAUUUGUAGAUUACGAGCCAAAAUUUUUUGAAAUCGAAUAUCCUCAUAAUAUGGCUGUUGAUAGUUUGAUAUCAUCAAACGAAAAAUCCUUGAUCUUUAAAACGAAAGUACAACAAGCAGGGAAAAAUGUCACGAGAUGAUUGAAUUAUGAAUGCAAAAUGAAGCAAAAAAGUUAGCUUUUAAAGAAGUAAAAUAGGAAAAUAAAAUAUUGCUAAAAAACUUAGCUUCUAUCGAUGAUGUUAAUAUUCGUGAAUACAUUCGAUCUGAACAAGAAAGAAUCAUACGAAAAAUGCGUCAAGAGCAACAACAACAAUCAUCUUCAGUUACACAAAAUUUGUUUGGAUAAUAUUUUGGAGAUUUUGGAGGUUCCGGAGCAAAUUUACCAGACUAUUAGUGUUUUUAUAAUAUUUAAAUUUGAGUAAUAAUUAUGUCUUCAUGUGUCUUUUUAAUAUGUUUUUAUCAUGGUUUUUUGUAAUAUUCUUAUUGUUUAAUUCUAGUUUUAAAAUAUUAUAAUUAUUCUUGUUUCAAUUUUUUUUUUUAUUUAAUUUCAUGUGUAAAACUUAAAUUUAUAAAAAAAUUUGAAAUAUUUAUGAGAUAUAAAAGUCUUAAGGAUUAAAACAAUAAACAAAAAAAUAUUCAAGAAUUAUAAAUAUGAUGUAUAAUUGUAAGGACCAAAAUGCAAAUAAAAAGAUGAAACUUCAAAUUUGAAGUUUUGAAAAGUGAAACUCUAUAUUUGGAGUUUCACUCUUCAAAACUUCAAAUUUGAAGUUUUAAAGUUCAUUUUUGGAGAGCAAAAAACUCUAUAUUUGAAGUUAUAGAGUUUCUUUUGGAGAUGCUCUAACUCUUCCAACUGGUUCCCUCUUUCUUUCUCACUCUUCACUUUCCCUUUCAAUCAGGAAAAUCCCUGUUUUCUUUCUCCUUUCUGUGUUUUUUUCUUCCCCAUUACCUUAAAAUCUUUAUUUAUCUGAGGUUUUCUUGUAAACAAACAGUCUAAUCCAAGUUCAAGGGGGUUUCCCAGCUUCAUUGGAGGCUGAAGUCAUGAGCUUUACAAGAAGACAAGUGUUCUUUGUUCUCUCUGUUUUAGCCUUGACAAUGCCGUUCUCGGCUGGAGUCACCAAUCUACGAGAUGGUAACAAUCUCUCUCUUCUCCUGUCUGCAAGUUUCCACUUUUGGUUUUGCUUUGUCUGUUUAAAUUUUAUGGUUUAUGAACUCAACAAACUAGAUUUUGAGUUUAUGUCAAAGUGAAAGCGACUUGCAACACUGUUAGUGUACACAUUAGCUUUGUGCUUUAGAUUGGCAGAUUCUAUUGCUCUGAGUCCAGACUAAAAAAACCCUAAAGUUGACACAUAAGUUCUUGUUAGGGUUUAGUUCAACAGUACAACAACUCUUUGAUUUUUAAUAUUUUUUUGGAUAAUUGAUUUGUGAUGGGUUUGUUUGAUCACACUGGCUUGCCUUUGGAGGAGACCCUUGUGUAGAAAAGUGGCAAGGUGUGGUCUGUGAUUCCUCAAACAUCACAGAAAUGUACACUCUCUCAACUCUUACUAUGGUUUGCUUAAGACUCACCAAAGAAUGAAGCUUUAGUCAAGUCCUGACCAGUGUGAUUAUUGUUGUUGGCUGCAGAAGGAUACCUGGCAUGAAGGUGGGUGGAGGCUUAAGUGACACCUUGGCUGAUUUUUCAUCAAUCCAACUGGUGUAAGCAAAGCUUCUUGUUUUUCUUGAUGUUUAAUUUGAUUUUUUUCAUAAUACUCUUUUCAUCAAAAAUCCAUAGAUCCGUAUAAAGUACAUGGAAUUUUAACCGUAAACUAACUAAUUACGUUGUUCUGGGAUUCCGAUGCGACCCUAUCCCUCUAGUGAGAGCCUCAUUCAGAAAUCGAUUCUCAUUUGAUGCGAUCUAUGGCGUGAGGUGAUUAUGUUUAGCUUUUAUUCAUUAAUUGUGAUUUCAAAUUGAUGAGAUUUUCGAUAAUUAAGAUUCGACUGGGAGAAAAAAGUUUUGGAAAAUUUAUUUUCUCUUAAUGUAAAUGUUUCCUUUUUUCCAAUGCUUAUAGGUCGGCUGCUCUGCAUAUAUAAAGACACUCUCAGAUCAUCAAUAAGGUGAGAGAGGCAAGAAAGAUACAAUGUUGAAAAGAAGACAUGGCUCAAUUUUGAAAAGACAUGGCUCUGAUAAGAGAAGACGUGGCUCCAGCUCGAGUGUGGAAUUGGAAGUGCUACCACACGAUGUGAUAGAGCUCAUACUCGAGAGACUUCCCGUGGAAUCUCUGCGGAGAUUCAGGUCUGUGUCCAAGAAGUGGAUAUCCACAAUCGAUUCCCCUCGUUUCCAGUCAAGGCAGCUGAACCUUCGCAGGCAAUCACGAGGUCAUGAUCUCCUUUUCGUAGCCUAUUACGAGGAUCCUCCUGAUAAUGUAGCUCAACAUGCCUUGGGCUCUUCUUCUUCUUGCAGAUACCGUACUGUCAAGUUCCCUUUUCCGAACCUCUUGCUUUGCUAUGGUAGUUGCGACGGUCUGGUUUGCCUCUUCUGUAUUGACACACCCAACGUCGUGGUGAAUCCCGCCACUCGAUGGCAUCGAAGUUUUCCUUUUUCCUCCCUGCAACGUCGUAUCAUCGACAAAGGACCGCCCUUUGGCAGCAACCCAAUUUAUGAGCUUGGAUUUGGUAAAGACAAGUUGAGUGGUACUUACAAGCCUGUUUGGUUGUAUAAUAAUUCAUCCAAAUUCGGACUAGACAAUGUUACCACUUGUGAAGUUUUCGACUUUAGCACCCACUCCUGGAGGAACCUUGUCCCUUCUUCUCCUUAUCCUAUUCUCAGAUUCCAGAAGCCAGUCUAUUUUGACGGGUCACUCUAUUGGCUCACCGACUGUGUAGAAGAAACAAAGGUUUUGUCUUUCGAUCUCCACGCUGAAACUUUCCAAGUCAUCUGUAAAGCUCCCUUUGCUGAUGAUGCACCUCGCCCAAGUAAUGUAGUCUUGUUCAUCCUUGAUGACUGUUUGUGCGCUUCCGAGAAAACGUGGCCAACGCAAGUCAUAUGGUCCUUGGAUUCUUCUUCAAAGACAUGGAAGCAAAUGUGUUCUAUAGAUCUCACCAAUACUUUUC
RNAcentral lists this long non-coding RNA (5922 nucleotides) under Brassica napus (rape). RNAcentral describes it as "long non-coding RNA (BNAP_LNC022320)". Lineage: Eukaryota; Viridiplantae; Streptophyta; Magnoliopsida; Brassicales; Brassicaceae. The record is from RNAcentral.